UACGGAGGGGGCUAGCGUUGUUCGGAAUUACUGGGCGUAAAGCGCACGUAGGCGGCUUUGCAAGUCAGAGGUGAAAGCCCGGGGCUCAACCCCGGAAUUGCCUUUGAGACUGCAUCGCUAGAAUUGUGGAGAGGUAAGUGGAAUUCCGGGUGUAGAGGUGAAAUUCGUAGAUAUUCGGAAGAACACCAGAGGCGAAGGCGACUUACUGGACACAUAUUGACGCUGAGGUGCGAAAGCGUGGGGAGCGAACAGG
RNAcentral lists this ribosomal RNA (253 nucleotides) under uncultured bacterium. RNAcentral's name for it is "partial 16S ribosomal RNA". It matches the Rfam family "Bacterial small subunit ribosomal RNA", at positions 524 to 776 of the family's 1533-position model. The record is from RNAcentral.